This is a long non-coding RNA of Sander lucioperca (pikeperch), 498 nucleotides long. RefSeq lists it as uncharacterized. The transcript is spliced from 2 exons. Lineage: Eukaryota; Metazoa; Chordata; Actinopteri; Perciformes; Percidae. The record is from RefSeq and is a predicted model, not a curated record.
GAAACCAUAAUACCUCAAAUAUAACAACCAACACUAUUACCGUAAUGUAUUGAUAAGAGCGUUAUCCAAAAAUUAUAUUUAACACACAUACAUAUUUUGGGAGGAAGACAGUGUUACAAUUUAUGACAUGAAUAAAUGGGUAAAAACAACUUUCUUCAGAGUUCUCCUCAUAGAAUUUAAUGUGGAAUGUAACAUAUUCACAACACCCUGUGUAUCAUCUGUUCAUUCUGUCUGUUCAGACUGAAAGCAGAGACACUGAUGAUGUCAUACAAAGUCAGAAAAUAGAAAGCUAACUGUUUCCAGCAGACACUAAAGAAUGAUGGAGCAGCAGGAAACAGACCAGGUCAGAUAGUAAACAGCUGAUUUAUUCAUCUGACUUGUAGAAUGACCUCAAUGAUUGAAUUGUUUGAAAUGUCUGGUAAUGUGGAACAACUAAAUGCAAAAUGAAUGAAAUAAAACAAGGCCACAUGCUGAUUAUUUGUGACUUGAUUUGAUGGA